Molecule: long non-coding RNA, 910 nt
Organism: Uranotaenia lowii
Lineage: Eukaryota; Metazoa; Arthropoda; Insecta; Diptera; Culicidae
Exons: 4
Source: RefSeq, a predicted model, not a curated record
GUUUUGUGUGCCCGCCAUUUUAUCCAGAAUAAUAUUUUUUUUCGCUGACAAUUUUAUUGCAAAAACGACGUGAUUUUAAGCAGUUCCGCGUCGCCGCUGCUACAGCGAGAAUGGAAGGAGACAUUUGCGACUACUUGGGAACGACGGAUUGGCCACAAGAAUCUAUCGAAAACCAUUUGCUUCAGUAUAUGAGGACAACGAUUCCGGUAAUUCUCCGAGUGACGGAGCUGUUGGGGGUGCUGGAACUUCCAGUGGUUCCUCGUCCGAGCUUCCUCCACCAAUUCGUUUGCCACCAGUUCCGCAACCUGUUGCAUGUCUGUGUCGACGGAAAUACUACGUAGACGCCGUAAAAUAUCAUCCGCCUUCACGAAAGAAAUUAAACGAUGCCAACAUGGAGGAAUUUCUCAAUCUGGAUGGUAGACUGAAAUAAGAAAAUCGUGCUCCAAAAAAGUAUUGCCUCAAUGGCCUAAUGUUCCUGUAUUAUAUUAUAGUUUAUAAACCGUAUCAUCGGUAAUAGCAACAGAAAAAUGACUAGAUACAAACGUUGAAAUUAUUCUGGAAAGAUUUACCUUGAGCCAUCUCUGAUCAACAGUGACAAAUCGAUGCUCAUCAGCUGAGCUAAGAGUAACAUUAUUUUUCGUAUCACGAACGCAACCACGGUGUGGCGAUGAGUGUGUCUCAUACUUUGUGUACAUCAACGUUGUUAAUGUGGACAAAUUACACUGUAACUGAGCGUCGGGAAGCAGUAAUUCGAACUCCAUGUUUGGACCAGAUUGGGCAGCCUAUUUUCGACAGUUUUUGGUCCAGAAAUCUCCGGUCAAUGCAACACAUACGGACAUCACACUACUGAUCGAUUUGCUAAAAUUAGCCUAUAUAUUUGGUUAUUACAUAGAACCUUCGGACAUGAAAA